RNAcentral lists this ribosomal RNA (515 nucleotides) under uncultured bacterium. RNAcentral describes it as "partial 16S ribosomal RNA". It matches the Rfam family "Bacterial small subunit ribosomal RNA", at positions 28 to 523 of the family's 1533-position model. The record is from RNAcentral.
GAUGAACGCUGGCGGCGUGCCUAAUACAUGCAAGUCGAGCGAAUGGAUUAAGAGCUUGCUCUUAUGAAGUUAGCGGCGGACGGGUGAGUAACACGUGGGUAACCUGCCCAUAAGACUGGGAUAACUCCGGGAAACCGGGGCUAAUACCGGAUAACAUUUUGAACCGCAUGGUUCGAAAUUGAAAGGCGGCUUCGGCUGUCACUUAUGGAUGGACCCGCGUCGCAUUAGCUAGUUGGUGAGGUAACGGCUCACCAAGGCAACGAUGCGUAGCCGACCUGAGGAGGUGUGCGGCCAAACUGGGACUGGGACACGGCCCAGACUCCUACGGGAGGCAGCAGUAGGGAAUCUUCCGCAAUGGACGAAAGUCUGACGGAGCUACGCCGCGUGAGUGAUGAAGGCUUUCGGGUCGUAAAACUCUGUUGUUAGGGAAGAACAAGUGCUAGUUGAAUAAGCUGGCACCUUGACGGUACCUAACCAGAAAGCCACGGCUAACUACGUGCCAGCCGCCGCAGUAA